Dipodomys ordii (Ord's kangaroo rat) is the source of this 294-nucleotide unclassified non-coding RNA. Its record names the gene 7SK. It matches the Rfam family "7SK RNA". From Rfam's summary of the family: 7SK was discovered as an abundant small nuclear RNA in the mid-70s but a possible function has only recently been suggested. Two independent studies have found that 7SK RNA binds the CDK9/cyclin T complex (known as elongation factor P-TEFb). P-TEFb activates transcription by phosphorylating the C-terminal domain of RNA polymerase II. NCBI's taxonomy places the organism in Eukaryota, Metazoa, Chordata, Mammalia, Rodentia, Heteromyidae. The record is from Ensembl.
GGAUGUGAGGGCGAUCUGGCUGCGACAUCUGUCACCCCAUUGAUCACCAGGGUUGAUUCGGCUGAUCUGGCUGGCUAGGCGGGUGUCCCCCUCCUCCCUCACUGCUCCAUGUGUGUCCCUCCCAAAGCUGUGCACUUGGUCGAAGAGGAUGACCAUCCCCGAUAGAGGAGGACCGGUCUUCGGUCAAGGGUAGCUGCACUCCCCUACUAAAACCGACAAACAAGCUCUCAAGUUCAAGGCCAGGCUGAGCUACAUAGUGAGAUCCAACAAAAAAGGGAAGAUGGGAAAAGGUUU